CGAGGCGGAAGCCGUGCGGGCGGCCUGGGUCGCCAUCGACGUCCCGCAGUGCGGCUACUGCCAGUCCGGCCAGAUCAUGUCGGCCGUGUCGC
This 92-nucleotide transfer RNA is filed under the name Aureimonas glaciei. RNAcentral describes it as "tRNA-Asp". The record is from RNAcentral. Lineage: Bacteria; Pseudomonadati; Pseudomonadota; Alphaproteobacteria; Hyphomicrobiales; Aurantimonadaceae.